GAUGAACGCUGGCGGCGUGCCUAAUACAUGCAAGUCGAGCGAACAGAUAAGGAGCUUGCUCCUUUUACGUUAGCGGCGGACGGGUGAGUAACACGUGGAUAACCUACCUAUAAGACUGGGAUAACUUCGGGAAACCGGAGCUAAUACCGGAUAACAUAUUGAACCGCAUGGUUCAAUAGUGAAAGGCGGCUUUGCUGUCACUUAUAGAUGGAUCCGCGCCGUAUUAGCUAGUUGGUAAGGUAACGGCUUACCAAGGCAACGAUACGUAGCCGACCUGAGAGGGUGAUCGGCCACACUGGAACUGAGACACGGUCCAGACUCCUACGGGAGGCAGCAGUAGGGAAUCUUCCGCAAAGGGCGAAAGCCUGACGGAGCAACGCCGCGUGAGUGAUGAAGGUCUUCGGAUCGUAAAACUCUGUUAGCAGGGAAGAACAAAUGUGUAAGUAACUGUGCACAUCUUGACGGUACCUGAUCAGAAAGCCACGGCUAACUACGUG
This 497-nucleotide ribosomal RNA is filed under the name uncultured bacterium. RNAcentral's name for it is "partial 16S ribosomal RNA". It matches the Rfam family "Bacterial small subunit ribosomal RNA", at positions 28 to 507 of the family's 1533-position model. The record is from RNAcentral.